GAAAUGGUCUUUUUCAAGACCCCAAAUUAAUUAAAGAAAAGAUAUU
Molecule: non-coding RNA, 46 nt
Organism: Clunio marinus
Lineage: Eukaryota; Metazoa; Arthropoda; Insecta; Diptera; Chironomidae
Source: Rfam